RNAcentral lists this ribosomal RNA (483 nucleotides) under uncultured bacterium. RNAcentral describes it as "partial 16S ribosomal RNA". It matches the Rfam family "Bacterial small subunit ribosomal RNA", at positions 28 to 506 of the family's 1533-position model. The record is from RNAcentral.
GAUUAACGCUAGCGGCAGGCAUAAUACAUGCAAGUUGAACGGCAGCACAGGUAGCAAUACUUGGUGGCGAGUGGCGCACGGGUGCGUAACACGUAUGCAACCUACCCUAUACAGGCGAAAAACCUUUAGAAAUGAGGUCUAAUCCGCCGUAGUAUUACAGAUGGGCAUCUAUUUGUAAUUAAAGAUUUAUCGGUAUAGGAUGGGCAUGCGUCCCAUUAGUUAGUUGGUAAGGUAACGGCUGACCAAGACGAUGAUGGGUAGGGGAACUGAGAGGACUUACACCCACACUGGUACACAGACACGACCCAGACUCGUACGAGAGGCAGCUGAAAGUGAUAAUGGGCAAUAGCCGCGAGGCUGACACAGCCAUGGCGCGUGCAAGAACACGGCCUUGUGGAUUGUAAACUGCUUGUAUGCGAGCAUAGGAGAGUGUACGCGUACAUUUAUGCAAGAAUCGAAGGAAUAAGCAUCGCCUAACUCCGU